UGGAGAGUUUGAUCCUGGCUCAGGACGAACGCUGGCGGCGUGCUUAACACAUGCAAGUCGAGCGGAAAGGCCCCUUCGGGGGUACUCGAGCGGCGAACGGGUGAGUAACACGUGAGCAACCUGCCCCUGACUCUGGGAUAAGCCCGGGAAACUGGGUCUAAUACCGGAUGUAACCACUGGUCGCAUGGUCUGGUGGUGGAAAGUUUUUCGGUUGGGGAUGGGCUCGCGGCCUAUCAGCUUGUUGGUGGGGUGAUGGCCUACCAAGGCGACGACGGGUAACCGGCCUGAGAGGGCGACCGGUCACACUGGGACUGAGACACGGCCCAGACUCCUACGGGAGGCAGCAGUGGGGAAUAUUGCGCAAUGGGCGGAAGCCUGACGCAGCGACGCCGCGUGAGGGAUGACGGCCUUCGGGUUGUAAACCUCUUUCAGCAGGGACGAAGCUAACGUGACGGUACCUGCAGAAGAAGCGCCGCUAACUACGUGCCAGCAGCCGCGGUAA
Molecule: ribosomal RNA, 502 nt
Filed under: Actinomadura madurae
Lineage: Bacteria; Bacillati; Actinomycetota; Actinomycetes; Streptosporangiales; Thermomonosporaceae
Description: bacterial SSU rRNA
Rfam family: Bacterial small subunit ribosomal RNA
Source: RNAcentral